GACGUUGAUAGGUUGGGUGUGUAAGCGCUGUGAGGCGUUGAGCUAACCAAUACUAAUUGCCCGUGAGGCUUGACCAUAUAACACCC
RNAcentral lists this ribosomal RNA (86 nucleotides) under Pseudomonas putida LS46. Its description in RNAcentral is "partial 23S ribosomal RNA". The stretch from base 1 to 77 matches the Rfam family "Bacterial large subunit ribosomal RNA", at positions 2849 to 2925 of the family's 2925-position model. The record is from RNAcentral. Lineage: Bacteria; Pseudomonadati; Pseudomonadota; Gammaproteobacteria; Pseudomonadales; Pseudomonadaceae.